UACAGAGGGGGCAAGCGUUAUUCGGAAUUAUUGGGCGUAAAGCGCGUGUAGGCGGUCCGGUAAGUCCGCUGUGAAAGUCGGGGGCUCAACCCUCGGAUGCCGGUGGAUACUGUCGGGCUUGAGUACGGAAGAGGCGAGUGGAAUUCCUGGUGUAGCGGUGAAAUGCGCAGAUAUCAGGAGGAACACCAAUUGCGAAGGCAGCUCGCUGGGACGUUACUGACGCUGAGACGCGAAAGCGUGGGGAGCAAACAGG
This 253-nucleotide ribosomal RNA is filed under the name uncultured bacterium. Its description in RNAcentral is "partial 16S ribosomal RNA". It matches the Rfam family "Bacterial small subunit ribosomal RNA", at positions 524 to 776 of the family's 1533-position model. The record is from RNAcentral.